GUCAUUCAUAUCAAGUGAUAGUUGUGACUUUGUUGAUUUUUUUGUUCGUUUUGUUUUUAUAUACAUUUAAUUUAUACCCCAUAUAUUUGUGCAAUAUUUACCUUUUCAGGUACAUUUAUAUUUAUUUUUAUACUUGUUUUUGAUUUGAAUGGGCAAAUGAAAAAAAGAUAUGAACAGAGUUAAACUUGUUUGGUAGAGCACUGGUUCUGUAAAGCCAUUCAGAUUUCAUUGCAGCAAGUGUUUUAAUCACUGACGAGAAAUAAAUGUAUUUUUCUGGAUAUCACUUAUGGUUAUAAGUAAAGUGAACAUAAAAGAUGCACUGGGUAUUGAUAAUACAUGUACACAUAUGAGUAUGUAAAAUUUAACUCUGCUGCAAUGAAAGCUAAAUGUUUUACACUUUACUUGCUGUCAUUGUAAGAUGUUUGGUACUCUUACAGGGUAAAUUUAGGCAUGUGUAAGAAUAGAUGAACAAGCUGAAAGGUUUGUAGUGAAAAUUACAUUCCAAUGUACAGAUUUGUUUAAUGAAUCCACUUAAAAAAGUAUAGUUUUCCAAAGUAGAGUUCUUUUUGUAAGCAUGCAGACAGAGAAUUCCAACCUUGAACAAAUUUAGUAUCAUUGAAAUCCUUUGCUAUUUCCAUUAUUUUGAUACCCAAAUAAUGCUUUUCAUUCAAAUUAUUUUCAUUAUGUUGAUAUGUCUUUAUUGUUUAUCGAAGGGAAACCAUGCAAGUUUUCUAUUGGGGAACUGUUGACAAGAAUAAUACUGGGCAUUUGAUGGUCUAAGUAGUACAUUUAAGAAGACAUGAAUCAGAACUGUUGGUGUUUAUUUAGUAACCCAUGAAUAGUUGAGCAGUAAUCAUGAAUCAGUGCAUGUACGACUUUAAAAUAUCUAAGUACAUGGCCUGUACCCUGCUCAUUUAGACUUUUUUUGUCAUCUAAUGCAUUGUUGAGUUUGUUUAGGGUGAGUAUAGUUUGGGUUGCUGUGAUGUUUGAUAAUGUUGAUCAUUGGUUGAAAUGUAUAAGAAAUCCUUGUACUGCUUAGUUUUAGUGUUUAUUGCUCACGAGUGGACAGACAGGAAUGUAUGCUAAGAAAGUCCAGGGUUCAAAAUUACUCCGUGUAACAUUUUUUAUAAGGAGGCUAAUUUAGUGGGGAAGUUUGAAGCUGAUGUCAGAGAUUAACAGAUAUCAAAGAGGGGUUUCUUCAGCCACUUGCUCUGAUUCAAUGAACUAAACUUUCUUGGUCACAGUAGGUUCAAGGUUUGAUUAUAAAGUUUCUUGCACAAAAAAAUGGUUGUAAUAGUUGUUGGAUACACUUAUGAGUAUGCAGUUUGGACAAUCAUUCUACUCUGAAAUGAUAUUUUUGUCAUUUGAGGUUAGUUAGUGUUAACUGUGUAUGUUUCUGGACCGAAUACAAUUAAUGCUCUACAAUUUCCGUUAAUUGGCUGUUCAGUGUUGAUAUAUACAAAUCUAGAAACUUUCAAUUUUGCUUGUUUAUUCCAUGCAGUUGUCAAUCAUUUCUCUCAUGCAGAUCAUGGGAAUAUUUAUCAGCAUGUGAGUGAGAACAUGCAUUUUCAUAAACAAAUUUCAUACAUAUCUGUAUUAACAUAAUCCUUUUUACCAAGCAAAAAAGCUAAGUCAGUGUUCAAUAGAAAUUAGCCCACCUGUACUUUUAGUCGUAUAAUUAGUUAUCCACUCAUGUCAUAUAUAAUGUGUAAGCCAAUGGACUUAAUUUGUUACAAACUAAGUAUAUUGGUGUAGAUGUUCAACAUUUGGUGCAUUUUUAAGAAAUCAAUUAUGGUAUGUUAUUUUUAUGAAUCUUUUUUUUUUUAGAUAUCUUGAUAUGUUGAAGUAAAUACAUUAAAUAAACAUUCCUUUUUAUACCUAAUAAAGCCUAAACAUUUUUUUUUUCAUAUGGGUAAAUUGCUUCAAACUGUUUUACAUGAUAUUCGAUAAAUACAUCUAUAUACAAAAGCAUGUUAAAUGAAGAAGUACAGGUAAGAAGGUUUUUUUGGGGUUAAUAUAAGUUAUUAUCGCAUUGCAAAAAAAAUAAAAUACCUACUUGUACAAUAGUGUUAAUUAUUAAAACUACCAAGAAAUUUUGGAGGGUCAAUACAAUUAUGUUUUGAAAUUUGUGUUUAGACAUUUUUCAUCUACUAGUAAAUACAUUUCAGAUCUGAUGUUUUAAAAUGAAUUUUUGGAUAUUUGAAAUAUUUGAAUUCUAUUCAAAAUUCUAUUUAAAGUUAAUGGUAUAGUUGCUUCCCUCAUAUUUUUGUCUUCAAUAAAUUUUAGUCUGUUCUAAUGUAAAAUGAAAAUAAAUAAUUAUAAAAACUUGAACAUGUUGUGAUCUUCAACUAACUCUCUCAUCAUUAUUAAUAUCAAUGUCUGGACAUCUUGUAAAUUUUCUUCUAUGUAUCAAACUAAAACAAUGUUUGCAAAUGAAAUGGAACUCUGUGGAAUAUGCUUUGAUUUGUUAUGCUUAUUGCAGUAAUAAACUACUGAUAAAUUCA
Long non-coding RNA from Saccostrea cuccullata (small rock oyster), 2504 nucleotides. RefSeq lists it as uncharacterized. Lineage: Eukaryota; Metazoa; Mollusca; Bivalvia; Ostreida; Ostreidae. The record is from RefSeq and is a predicted model, not a curated record. The transcript is spliced from 2 exons.